Molecule: ribosomal RNA, 403 nt
Filed under: uncultured bacterium
Lineage: Bacteria
Description: partial 16S ribosomal RNA
Rfam family: Bacterial small subunit ribosomal RNA
Source: RNAcentral
GACGAACGCUGGCGGCGUGCCUAAUACAUGCAAGUCGAACGCAGUGGGGACGGUGGAGUAAAACGUGGGUAACCUCGCAUAAGAGGGGAUAACACUUGGAAACAGGUGCUAAACCGAGACGGAUGGAUGGACCCUCGGUGGAUUAGCUAGUUGGUGAGGUAACGGCUCACCAAGGCCACGAUGCAUAGCCGACCUGAGAGGGUGAUCGGCCACACUGGAACUGAGACACGGCCCAGACUCCUACGGUAGGCAGCAGUAGGGAAUAUUCGGCAAUGGACGAAAGUCUGACCGAGCAACGCCGCGUGAGUGAAGAAGGUCUUCGGAUCGUAAAGCUCUGUUGUUAGAGAAGCGGUAUCUAACCAAAAAGCCACGGCUAACUACGUGCCAGCAGCCGCGGUAAUAC